RNAcentral lists this ribosomal RNA (301 nucleotides) under uncultured bacterium. RNAcentral describes it as "partial 16S ribosomal RNA". It matches the Rfam family "Bacterial small subunit ribosomal RNA", at positions 509 to 809 of the family's 1533-position model. The record is from RNAcentral.
CAGUCGCCGCGGGAAUACAGAGGGUGCGAGCGUUAAUCGGAUUUACUGGGCGUAAAGCGUGCGUAGGCGGCUUCUUAAGUCGGAUGUGAAAUCCCUGAGCUUAACUUAGGAAUUGCAUUCGAUACUGGGAAGCUAGAGUAUGGGAGAGGAUGGUAGAAUUCCAGGUGUAGCGGUGAAAUGCGUAGAGAUCUGGAGGAAUACCGAUGGCGAAGGCAGCCAUCUGGCCUAAUACUGACGCUGAGGUACGAAAGCAUAGGGAGCAAACAGGAUUAGAUACCCCAGUAGUCCCUGUCUCUUAUAA